UGGGGAAUAUUGCGUAAUGGGCGAAAGCCUGACGCAGCAACGCCGCGUGAGUGAUGAAGGCUUUCGGGUUGUAAACCUCUUUCAGGAGGGACGAAGCUUCCGGGGUUAAUAGCCUACGGGGUGACGGUACCUCCAGAAGAAGCCCCGGCUAACUACGUGCCAGCAGCCGCGGUAAUACGUAGGGGGCAAGCGUUGUCCGGAAUCAUUGGGCGUAAAGCGCGUGUAGGUGGCUUGGUAAGUCCGGUGUGAAACCUUGGGGCUCAACCCCAAGCCUGCAUCGGAUACUGCCUCGCUCGAGUUCGGGAGGGGAGAGCGGAAUUCCUAGUGUAGCGGUGAAAUGCGCAGAUAUUAGGAAGAACACCGGUGGCGAAAGCGGUUCUCUGGAUCGAUACUGACGCUAAGACGCGAAAGCGUGGGGAGCAAACAGGAUUAGAUACCCAAGUAGUCCCUGAGCGGGCUGGCAAGGCGCAU
Molecule: ribosomal RNA, 471 nt
Filed under: uncultured bacterium
Lineage: Bacteria
Description: bacterial SSU rRNA
Rfam family: Bacterial small subunit ribosomal RNA
Source: RNAcentral